CAGGGAUGAGGAUCUUAGGGAGGGCAAAGUUACAAGGCUGCUCUUGAUUUAUUAUUGAAUUGUGUUGCGCUUUCUUGCACUGCCAUAGCGUCAUCAGCUGGCUGACUAGCUGGCUGCAACCUGGUGUCUGAGAAUUUCGUAUUAUUCUUUAAGUAAAUCUGGGCGACCUAAUUUAUUUUGUAUGUUAUGUUUCAUAUGGGAGGAAGUGUAUCAGUGGUGACACAAUGUGGACCAACUGGUUCCUGCACCUCGACUCUCACACAGUGAGCCAAACAAGGAAGAAGAACUUAAUUUUUUAGAAAGGUUGGCAAAAAAAAUGAGUGUCUUUUGGGAGAGAGAGGAGGGGACCACUGCCUCUAAAAUGAGUGUCUUUGGGGAGAGAGAGGAGGGGACCACUGCCUCUAAAAUGAGAACGACCUACACGUUGAAGCUGUGGGGAGAGACCAGACUCCCCUGUACCCAGCUGUGUAUCCAUGAAGAGUGAACAGUCUAUGGGGAAACCAAUCAACUUCAGUGUUGGACACUUCUCUACUAGCAAGGAGACCAACAGGAGAGAUCAGAAGCAGAUAUUUCCAGUGGUCAGUCUUCCCAAAGUCAUACAACAGACCUGGACUCGAUAUUCCUCAUGGGGCGGCAGGCAGCCUAGUGGUUAGAGCGUUGGACUAGUAACUGAAAGGUUGCAAGAUCGAAUCCUGGAGCUGACAAGUCACUUGAAGAGACUGUCAUCACUUUAGUGAAGAAAGAACUGAAGAGUUUCAAGAGGAUUCUGAGUCCAGAUCUCCCAGAAUGCUUAGAGUCAGAGAGAGGAUGCUGAAGAUGAGAAGCAGGAGAGCAGGGCCAGAGAGGAUCACACUUCACUUCCUGAGGAACAUGAAACAUAAGUCUGUUUAUUGAUGCUUUAUACACGGUUUUGUCUUUAGAUGUGCUUCUUGACAACAUAAACUCAAAUCCAACCUGAAGAAGAAGUUUCGGUGUGUGUUUGAAGGAAUAGCUGUCCUAGGAAACCCAAG
Molecule: long non-coding RNA, 1010 nt
Organism: Oncorhynchus tshawytscha (Chinook salmon)
Lineage: Eukaryota; Metazoa; Chordata; Actinopteri; Salmoniformes; Salmonidae
Source: Ensembl